Molecule: unclassified non-coding RNA, 2336 nt
Filed under: Agrilus planipennis (emerald ash borer)
Lineage: Eukaryota; Metazoa; Arthropoda; Insecta; Coleoptera; Buprestidae
Description: uncharacterized LOC108735748, transcript variant X5
Source: RNAcentral
GUACCACUGUUAAUAUUGGUACACCACGCAACACAUAUGUAUGUCGAGAGAAUUGGUGAGGCGUCGUCGCGCGUCGCGACGGAUCCGCAGUCAACUCGGUCGCGUUGUAAUCGACACGCGGGCUUUCCCUUAAAACAUUCAAAUAUAUCGCGCUCUAUCCGAUACAAAAUACAAUCCCAAUAAGUUUUUCUGCAUAAGUGUUUUAUUUGUUAAUUUUUUUAUUUUACGUAGCAUGCCUACAUCUAAAUGUGAUUUUAAAAAAUCUGUUGUUUAUGUUGCUGGGACGUGUCGCCAAUGAAGCAUCAGCCAAACUGCGAUCUAAAAAAAGACUUUUCAAUUAGAUUCUAAUGUACACGUUGACUGGCAACAACAAUCUUUCCGAGUGUUGACGGUAAACGAGAACAUGAUUGAUGCUUCGGAGAGGUUUUUGGUGAAUUCCCGAUUUUGGAUACAAAGGGUGCUUGUUCCUAUAGCAGUCUUUAUUGGCGUGGGCGGGAAUGUCGUUUCCGUAAUUGUGCUCACAAGGAGGAGGAUGCGAAAUUCAACCAACGUAUACCUCACUGCCUUAGCUGUAGCAGAUCUUAUUUAUCUUUUUUUUGUUCUUAUAUUAUCAUUUGAACAUUAUCCCAAUAUUCACGAUAUAAAAUACAGCCUGUUCUGGAGGUUUUAUGGAAUAAGUCAUUGGUUUUGUGAUGCGGCAAGCAGCACGUCGGUUUGGUUGACGGUUUCUUUUACGAUUGAGAGAUACGUCGCAGUGUGUCAUCCAAUCAGGGGUAAGGUUCUUUGUACGGAAAGAAGAGCCAAGACCAUUAUUUGGAUCAUAAGUUUACUGUGUUUUGUUUUCACGGCAACCACUCCACUGGAACAUCAGCUCAAACUCGAGAAAAUAUGCAUUCAAAAGAUGUGUACGGCCAACAAUAACAACAAUAAUGUCAACAACAAUAACAAUAACAAUAACGGCCAUAGGGAUACAGAAAGUUUAAUUGCUUCGGUAGUCCCGAACACAUCUUUUACCAUACAAAAUAACAUAUCUCCCAAUGACAGUUCCGAAUGGAAUUGUAUUUCAGAAGUUCUUUUAAAUAACAUCACAAAGGAACAAAACGGCGACAGUGUAAAAAAUGUGUUAAAAAUAAAAUCUGAAAGAAACAAAGAUUUACUAACAAUUACUGCCAAAAAGAAUAGUUUUCAACCAGAAAAUAAUAAUAACACAAACGAAACCAGUAACAGUGCCCAUCCUGAUUGGAAACGCAAAAAGCAAGCUCGAAAAAAAGGAGAGUCCAAUUUGAUUUUGGAAUAUCCUGAGGAAGAAAACGCAAAUAACAACGAGACGAAUUGUAACGAUAACGAAAAUGGACUUCUGCAAACAUUUCUCUUUUCAGGCGAAUUAACUGACGAUCAGUAUUCUAACGAAACUAUAGAAAAUUUUACGUCAACUGCCGAUGCAGAUAAAGAAUUGUACGUUCCAUCGUAUUUCAUGAAGGAAAACGAAACGUGCUGUUAUAACACGAGUUACAUUGAUACGGAAUUGACAAAACUCGGAAAAAACAAAACCUAUCAAAAGGUCUAUUAUUGGUUCUCGUCGAUCGUAUUCGGAUUACUUCCGCUAGUUCUGAUAGCAACAUUCAACUGUUUCUUGGUCAAUGCUGUUUAUAAAUCACAAAAGCAGCGAAAAGUAAUGACUAAUUCGCAGGAUCAAAUGUCCCAGUCCCAAGAAAAUCGUAUAACGCUGCUUCUCAUUGGUGUUGUAGUUCUUUUUUUGGUAUGUCAAACUCCAACCGCAUCAUUUCUUAUCUACGAUGCUUUUGAUGAGACCAAAGAUACAUACUCAAGAAAUAUUAAAAAAGGUUUAGGUAACAUUUUCAACUUUCUAAUAACACUGAAUGCAUCGUGCAAUUUCAUCUUGUACUGCGUCCUGUCGGAUAAAUUCAGACGCACUUUCAAGAUAGUAUUUUGUAGCCGAGGUCUCAGCCGCCAAGAUACGCUCAUAACACUGACUGGAGGCAGCCGGACUGCCUCGCAACGUUUCCAUUCGCAGAGGAAUCUCAUCAAACGCGGCACUAGCGAAUACGUGCCCCGAACUCCAAGAAACUUGGAGGUAACUAUAUAUUUCUUUAAUAAGGGAAAAUAUAUAAACACAUACACCGUUCGAAUGAAGGUGUAAAAGAGAUGAGAGAAAGAGAGACUGAACAACGCUCGCUAACCGUCUUUGAUGGCUUAAAUCCGUCCUUCUUAUCUUCUUUCGCCAUCGACUCAGAGCUUAAAUAGUAUCCCAAGGACCAAGUCUCUGUUACAAAGACAAUUGGGCAAAGCAAAAACUCGCGACCUGCAUGUGUAAU